UCGAGAAUAUUUGUCAAUGUACGAAAGUAUGAACAUGCGACGCCGCGUGGAGGACGAAGGCCUUCGGGUUGUAAACUCCUGUCAUGAGGGAGUAAGUGUAUGCAAGCUAAUACCUUGCAUACUUGACAGUACCUCAAGAGGAAGUCACGGCUAACUCUGUGCCAGCAGCCGCGGUAAUACAGAGGUGGCGAGUGUUGUUCGGAUUUACUGGGCGUAAAGGGUCCGCAGGCGGCUUUGUGUGUCAGAUGUGAAAGCCCACGGCUUAACCGUGGAAUGGCAUUUGAAACUACAGAGCUAGAGUACAGGAGAGGAUAGGGGAAUUCAUGGUGUAGCGGUGAAAUGCGUAGAUAUCAUGAAGAACACCGGUGGCGAAAGCGCCUAUCUGGACUGAUACUGACGCUCAGGGACGAAAGCCAGGGGAGCAAAGAGG
This 430-nucleotide ribosomal RNA is filed under the name uncultured bacterium. RNAcentral describes it as "bacterial SSU rRNA". It matches the Rfam family "Bacterial small subunit ribosomal RNA", at positions 355 to 776 of the family's 1533-position model. The record is from RNAcentral.